AGAACAGGUCCACUGUAGUCCAGGGCAGGGUAGGUUAAAGUACAGUAGAGUACAGUAGAGUACAGUAGAGUAGAGUACAGUAGAGUACAGUAGAGUAGAGAACAGGUCCACUGUAGUCCAGGGCAGGGUCAGGUUAAAUGUAGAGUAGAGUACAGUAGAGUAGAGAACAGGUCCACUGUAGUCCAGGGCAGGGUCAGGUUAAAUGUACAGUAGAGUACAGUAGAGUAGAGAACAGGUCCACUGUAGUCCAGGGCAGGGUCAGGUUAAAUGUAGAGUAGAGUACAGUAGAGUACAGUAGAGUACAGUAGAGUACAGUAGAGUAGAGAACAGGUCCACUGUAGUCCAGGGCAGGGUCAGGUUAAAUGUACAGUAGAGUACAGUAGAGUACAGUAGAGUACAGUAGAGUACAGUAGAGUACAGUAGAGUAGAGAACAGGUCCACUGUAGUCCAGGGCAGGGUCAGGUUAAAUGUAGAGUAGAGUACAGUAGAGUAGAGAACAGGUCCACUGUAGUCCAGGGCAGGGUCAG
This is a long non-coding RNA of Oncorhynchus tshawytscha (Chinook salmon), 527 nucleotides long. The record is from Ensembl. NCBI's taxonomy places the organism in Eukaryota, Metazoa, Chordata, Actinopteri, Salmoniformes, Salmonidae.